UCCCAGGUGGCUUAGUUGGUAAAGAAUCUGCCUGCAAUGUGGGAGACCUGGGUUUGAUCCUGGCUUGGGAA
This 71-nucleotide transfer RNA is filed under the name Bos taurus (domestic cattle). It matches the Rfam family "tRNA". From Rfam's summary of the family: Transfer RNA (tRNA) molecules are approximately 80 nucleotides in length. Their secondary structure includes four short double-helical elements and three loops (D, anti-codon, and T loops). RNAcentral also lists the same sequence under 4 other names. The record is from Rfam by way of RNAcentral. Lineage: Eukaryota; Metazoa; Chordata; Mammalia; Artiodactyla; Bovidae.